GUGCCAGCAGCCGCGGUAAUACGUAGGUGGCAAGCGUUAUCCGGAAUUAUUGGGCGUAAAGCGCGCGUAGGCGGUUUUUUAAGUCUGAUGUGAAAGCCCACGGCUCAACCGUGGAGGGUCAUUGGAAACUGGAAAACUUGAGUGCAGAAGAGGAAAGUGGAAUUCCAUGUGUAGCGGUGAAAUGCGCAGAGAUAUGGAGGAACGCCAGUGGCGAAGGCGACUUUCUGGUCUGUAACUGACGCUGAUGUGCGAAAGCGUGGGGAUCAAACAGGAUUAAUACCCUG
RNAcentral lists this ribosomal RNA (284 nucleotides) under uncultured Staphylococcus sp. RNAcentral's name for it is "partial 16S ribosomal RNA". It matches the Rfam family "Bacterial small subunit ribosomal RNA", at positions 505 to 789 of the family's 1533-position model. The record is from RNAcentral. Lineage: Bacteria; Bacillati; Bacillota; Bacilli; Caryophanales; Staphylococcaceae.